Molecule: long non-coding RNA, 1392 nt
Organism: Vicia villosa (hairy vetch)
Lineage: Eukaryota; Viridiplantae; Streptophyta; Magnoliopsida; Fabales; Fabaceae
Exons: 6
Source: RefSeq, a predicted model, not a curated record
CUCCAUUUUCGUUACGAACCUACCAGCAAUCAUGGAUAACAUCGAUUUCAACGCUCCCCAUUCCGUGGGAAUCACUAUCAUCGGUGUUACCUACAACGUCAGAGUCGUUAUUGGAGCCGAUUCUCGAACUAGCAAUGGCUGCAUAUUGUCAGGUUGUCUUUGACUAUGGCCGCUAUUUCCUCCGUCAACACAUGUAAGUGGCUUACUCAAUUGUGUAUAACUGUUAAAACACUUUCCUUUGUACUAAGAUGUUUUAGACUAUAAUUUUUGAUAAAGCCUAUGAGACUGGUCCGAGACUAUUGUUGGAUGAGAAAGCAAUUCAGAAAACAGGCCCAAGAUUUGGAGGGUGUGUGAGAGGUAGUCUUUGGUUUCGUGUAUUCAUGAGCAUGUUCACAUCACUAUUAAGUUUUCAUUUUAUGUAGGAUUCAGCUCGGAUAACCUGCCAUAGUCAAGGUUGCAGCCAACCUUGUUCGGCUUCUCGCAUAUAACAACAAGAAUAACUUGCAAACCGGGUUAAUUGUCGGUGGCUGGGGCAAGUACGAAGGUGGUCAGAUAUUUCUAUUGGAGGUAUAUGACUGUUAAAACAUGUUAACGCGCUUUUUCUAUACACACAGAUGGUGCCAGUGGAUUUUAGUUAUCUAUUGUAUGUAUAUAAGUUGAUAGCUCCUGGAGAUUCUAUUAUAGCCUAUACUAUUAGGAAGGUUCUUAGAGAUGGCAGAAUGUGUUAAGCUCAUAUUGGAAGUUAAAGUUGAAGAUGGUGUGGAUUAUAAUAAAGAAGGAGUUAUUCUUCGUGUUCGUGGGAAGAAUAUUCUAGAGAAUGAACAUGUCUUGUAGUUAGUUAACAGGGGUUUCAACAAGGAACUUAGUGGGUUUAUGGAUGAGGCAUGUAGAUUGGCAAUGAUGGUGUUGAUGUUACAGCACAAUUAAUGUGUCUUGAUUAUUUCAUUUGCAAAUGGAUUUACAUCCUUCACUACUUCACUUCACUACUAAAGUUUCAAUGCUAUCAAAGGAAUUUUGGUUGAUUGUGUGUUCUCUGGUGGCUUGUAAUUGUAAAUCUGAAUAUUUGUAUGAUGUAGUGCAAGUUUGUGGGAUAUUAUUCUUUCCCUAUUCUUUUUUGUGUUGUAUUAAGGAGUGAGUACCCCUUGUACUAGUAUUAAUACAUUUCUCUUAAAAAAUAUAAUUGAAAUUUUUUUUGAUGUAGUUUUAAAUUUUGUGUGGUCGAUAUAGAAAGUAUUGCAAAUUUUGAUUAUUAAAAAAAUAUUAAUUGUGGGAAAUAAAUAUUUAUAUAAUACACCAACGGGAAAUACGUGAAGGAUCAAGGUAUUAAAUUUUGUCACUAACCGUUGUUAUAGCACUAAAAAUUUGUCCAACACUUGAAAAUUGCCGUAGCCA